CGCCGGCCGAACCGUUCGGCCGGAUCGCACGCCACGCUGGCCCAGCGUCCACCAAAACACCCCCGAAAACAAAACGUGUGUACGCGGUGGGCCGCACACAACUUUCCCUCUUCUAUCCUUAUCCCUUAUCUUUUCUUCUACCUUCAGCCGCGACUCCACAACCACGUUUCCUCUCUCCUCGUCGCUGCUCACGAACCAGUGCAAGCUCCUCACGCCGCCGACCGCCGUCGUCGCUGCCGUUCCAUCGCUCCUGCUCUCCGGCCACCCGUGCAGACCACGCUCAUCCCUCGGCCGCCCCAUACUUCUGUCAUAAGACUACAGCUCACCCGCCAGCCGGUUCCAGCUCGCGGCCACCAUGGCCGCAGCAUCUCCCCGCGUCGCCGCCUCCGCUCCUCGCUGUCGUCCAUGGUCACAGCGAAGACAAUAAGUUUGAAGCUUUUUUCAAUUCCGGUUGUAGCUUUUGUAAACGCCGGUCGCAGCUUUUCGUCCGUAGUCCAUGGCUUCCGGCUCCACGGUUGAAACUUUUUUCAUGGCCGUAUGAAGCUUUUUUCGUCAUCAGAUGAAGCUUUUCUGUCAGCGGUUGUAACCUUUCUUUUUUGGUUGUCAUAGGUUUCUUCGUACAUGAGUUAAAACUUUUUUUCAUAGCCGGUUGAAGCUUUUCACGUCAGCGGUUGUAGCCUUUUUGCUCGUUGUAGCUGCAACCACAUGAUGAUGAUGCGACCUGACAACGACGACGAUGUGUUUUUUUGCUACAAACACGUCAUUUUUUGCUGCAACCGGCAACCAUGGAAGCUACAUCCGAUUAACAUUUUUGCUACAAUGGCGACACUGAUGGAUCUUUUUUGCUGCAACCGUUGUUUUCAUUUGCUACGACUGACACGGGAAAAUGCUACCACGGGGCAUCUCUGUAUUUUGCUGAAAUCAAUCAUCGGUGAGGCGGAGCUGCAUCCAUGGCACUCCGGCGAGUGGCAGGGCCGGGGCAGCGAGUGGUCCGAGCGAGCUGAGUCCCGGAGCGCGGGACGGCCCUGACGGGCGGCCGGGGCGGCGAAUGGUCUGGACGAGCUGAGUGCGGAGCUGCAUCCAUGGCGAUCCAACGGGCGGCCAAGGCGGCGAGCGGUCAGCUCCAACCGGCGACCGGGACGGCGAGCGGCCGGAGCGAGCUGAGUGCCGGAGCGUGGGGCGGCCCCGACGGGCGGUCGGUGCGGCGAGCGCUCAGGGAGACGACGAAAAGCGAGGAGGCCACAAGAACAAGUGCCUCGCUGCCAAGGCGACGGCACCGUCCCCGGCACGGACUGGAAGGAAUUACCGCAACUCACUUCAAUAAUUCGUCAUCGGCGAUGCCCCUAAACAAAGACCAUCCAGCGAAUCGUUUCUAGCAAGAGCAGAAGAAGAGAAGAUCAGCAAUAGAAAAGGUACAGAGAUCGUGCCAAUUCUCAAAGUGAAGGACUCCAUCCACAGGAUACUCACGGGACAACAGCGCCCUCAACCAUGGCCUUCGGCUUGAUUUCACAUGGCUUGGCGGCGAGGCCGUGCCCAGCCCGCCUCCAUGCGACACGGCCGCUCAUGGCGCAAUGGACGGCACCCGUCCCGGUGGCGGCGCAAAGCGCGGCUCCCUCGCGAGCACGGCGCAACAACGCCCACGUCGGCAACGGCCGACGCACGGCGGUUGACUCAUCAGGAUGCGGCCGCACCCGACACCACGCCUCCCUGCCGGUCCUUCGUGAGGACGCCCUCCGGCGCACGCGGGGGGAAGUUCGCUCCAUCCUGCCAUCGAGACGGCGGAAGCCACAGGCGCGGACUCGGCGCCCGGCAAGCCCUUCGCCACCGUGCUGUUCCCCAGCGACGUAUACGAAUCAUCCAUGGGGAACCUCACGGGAGAAAGAGGAUAACCUUAUCCCUUCGUUGAUUUUCAGUUUCAGCCAAUCUAUUGCUCUUAUUCUCAAAUUAGUCUUUCUUUAA
Molecule: ribosomal RNA, 1959 nt
Filed under: Triticum aestivum (bread wheat)
Lineage: Eukaryota; Viridiplantae; Streptophyta; Magnoliopsida; Poales; Poaceae
Description: partial small subunit ribosomal RNA
Source: RNAcentral